Molecule: ribosomal RNA, 252 nt
Filed under: uncultured bacterium
Lineage: Bacteria
Description: partial 16S ribosomal RNA
Rfam family: Bacterial small subunit ribosomal RNA
Source: RNAcentral
UACGGAGGAUGCGAGCGUUAUCCGGAUUUAUUGGGUUUAAAGGGUGCGUAGGCGGGCUGUUAAGUCAGCGGUAAAAGCCCGGGGCUCAACCCCGGCGAGCCGUUGAAACUGGGGAUCUAGAGUGUGCGAGAGGUAUGCGGAAUGCGUGGUGUAGCGGUGAAAUGCGUAGAUAUUAGGAGGAACACCAGUGGCGAAGGCGGCUUGCUGGACGACGACUGACGUUGAGGCUCGAAAGCGUGGGGAGCAAACAGG